This 71-nucleotide transfer RNA is filed under the name Marmota monax (woodchuck). RNAcentral's name for it is "tRNA.Ala". It matches the Rfam family "tRNA". From Rfam's summary of the family: Transfer RNA (tRNA) molecules are approximately 80 nucleotides in length. The record is from RNAcentral. Lineage: Eukaryota; Metazoa; Chordata; Mammalia; Rodentia; Sciuridae.
GGGGUUGAGGCUCAGAGGUAGAGCGCUUGCCUUGCAUGCCAGAGGCCCUGGGUUUGGUCCCCAGCACCACA